This 398-nucleotide ribosomal RNA is filed under the name uncultured bacterium. RNAcentral describes it as "bacterial SSU rRNA". It matches the Rfam family "Bacterial small subunit ribosomal RNA", at positions 969 to 1392 of the family's 1533-position model. The record is from RNAcentral.
CCUUACCAACCCUUGACAUCCUAGGACAACUCCAGAGAUGGAGCCUUCCUUCGGGACCUAGUGACAGGUGCUGCAUGGCUGUCGUCAGCUCGUGUCGUGAGAUGUUCGGUUAAGUCCGGCAACGAGCGCAACCCACAUCCUUAGUUGCCAGCAGUUCGGCUGGGCACUCUAGGGAAACUGCCCGUGAUAAGCGGGAGGAAGGUGUGGAUGACGUCAAGUCCUCAUGGCCCUUACGGGUUGGGCUACACACGUGCUACAAUGGCAGUGACAAUGGGUUAAUCCCCAAAAACUGUCUCAGUUCGGAUUGGGGUCUGCAACUCGACCCCAUGAAGUCGGAAUCGCUAGUAAUCGCGUAACAGCAUGACGCGGUGAAUACGUUCCCGGGUCUGUACACACCG